This 293-nucleotide unclassified non-coding RNA is filed under the name Hevea brasiliensis (rubber tree). The record is from RNAcentral. Lineage: Eukaryota; Viridiplantae; Streptophyta; Magnoliopsida; Malpighiales; Euphorbiaceae.
CGAAACCAAAUACUCUGACAUGUUUCUACGAAGCAUUUCUGCCAUACGUAAGGCUAUAAAUUCCAGCAACGGCAAGACCAAUUCAAUACACACCGUCUCUCGCCGACUUGUCCCGUGCGGACCAAACCCACUUCACAACUGAUUGUUUUAAAAUAAAUUCCUAUCGGUUUUCAUCUGUGGGAUGUACAUAAAUACUCUGUUUGUCUUUGAUUUUGUAGAAUAAAGAUAUACUUUCCACAAGAGCAGAAACUGUUCGAAAAUUGCAGGUUACAGGCUUUUUUAGUUGAUAUUGG